AAGGGAGGCUCAUCCAGUUUACAGUCAUUCAAGGAAUUAUUCAUCUCUUCAUUAUUAUUAAUAUCCUUCUUCCUUAAUCAUGUGAAUAACAGUAUAUAUUAAUGUCCAAGAACCCAAAAUUGAACAGGAAUAUCUCUCUCUCUCUCUCUCUCUCUCUCUCUCUCUCUCUCUCUCUCUUUGUGUGUGUGACUUUACAAUAUUCUUUCUAACCCUGUCUCAUACAACUUCAUCUAAAGAUGUUUCUCCUGUAAACAAGAUAUUCAUUUAUAAAAUCUUGCUAGAAAUCUAAUAGUUGUGGAUUUAAUAUUUGUGCUCUUUCUUUCUUUAGAAAAAUAUGUACAAGCUUGAGAUAAUGAAUAACCUUCCCUGAUUUCUGCCACAUUAUUCACACUUACCACCUGUUGUGAGAUCUCUACUCUAUUAUCCAAUACAGGACUUUAGGUCUCUGUUCUAGAUGCCAAUACCAUUGGAUUGCAACUAUUGGGACCUAGAAAAAUGGGGUCAGUAAUGAGGCCCACUGAAGUUUCAUACAGGAACCAAUUCAUAUAUCAGAAAAUGUAUACUUUAGAAAUUAAGAAGACACUCCAAGACUAGUCUGUGCAGGUGAGACUGUGGACUACAGAAGCUAACAGCUUCCAGGACAGGCCCUGUUUCAGGCCUCCAUUUUCUGCCAGGAGGCAGGUCCGAACACCAGAUAUCUGUGCACCUUCACUGCAAGAAGAGAGCUUGCCUGCAGAGAGUGCUCUGACCACUGAAACUCAGGAGAGAGCUAGUCUCCCAGGUCUGCUGAUAGAGGCUAACAAAAUCAUGAGAGGAACAAGCUCUAACCAGAGAUAAUUAUAACAACUAACUCCAGAGAUUACCAGAUGGCAAAAGGCAAAUGUAAGAAUAUUACUAACAGAAAUCAAGACCACUCACCAUCAUCAGAACACAGCACUCCCAACUCAGCCAGUCCUGGAUACCCCAACAUACCUGAAAAGAUAGACCCGGAUUUAAAAGCAUAUCUCAUGAUGAUGGUAGAGGACAUCAAGAAGGACUUUAAUAACUCACUUAAAGAAAUACAAGAGAGCACUACUAAAGAGUUACAAGUCCUUAAAGUAAAACAGGAAAAUGCAAACAAAUAGGUAGAAGUCCUUACAGAAAAAGAGGAAAACAAACCAAACAGGUGAUGGAACUGAACAUAAUAGACCUAAAAAGGGAAGUAGACACAAUAAAGAAAACCCAAAGUGAGGCAAUGCUGGAGAUAGAAACCCUAGGAAAGAAAUCUUUAUCACAGAUGCAAAUAUCAGCAACAGAAUACAAGAGAUGAAAGAGAGAAUCUCAGGUGCAGAAGAUUCCAUAGAGAACAUCGGCACAACAAUCAAAAAAAAUGCAAAAUGCACAAAGAUCCUAAGUCAAAACAUCCAGGAAAUCUGGGACACAAUGAGAAGACCAAACUUCCGGAUAAUAGGAGUAGAUAAGAACGAAGAUUUUCAACUCAAAGGGCCAGCAAAUAUCUUCAACAAAAUUAUAGAAGAAACUUCCCAAACUUAAAGAGAUGCUCAUGAACAUACAAGAAGCCUACAGAACUCCAAAUAGACUGGACCAGAAAAGAAAUGCCUCCCAACACAUAAUAAUCAGACC
RNAcentral lists this long non-coding RNA (1623 nucleotides) under Mus musculus (house mouse). RNAcentral describes it as "long non-coding RNA chr6:10803961-10805584". Lineage: Eukaryota; Metazoa; Chordata; Mammalia; Rodentia; Muridae. The record is from RNAcentral.